Molecule: long non-coding RNA, 476 nt
Filed under: Mus pahari (shrew mouse)
Lineage: Eukaryota; Metazoa; Chordata; Mammalia; Rodentia; Muridae
Description: lncRNA (MGP_PahariEiJ_G0005124.1)
Source: RNAcentral
GCCGUUGACAGAGUGCAGGCGGGAAGCUUCAGUUUGGGUAGAGAUGUAGCAUCAAACAUUCACGGAUGUCCAGGGAGCGCGGGCACACAGGCUGCUGGCCAGAGACUGGAGCCUAUGAACACAAUACACUAGUCAUGUUGGAGAUAACAGCCUGACCUGAGUGUGGCUGCAAAAUGAAGCCAUGUUUGGCUUUCCUAAGACAUCAGGCUCACAGCUCUGCUGGACUCUUUAAACCCCGAGGUCAUGUGAAAAGAAGUUUGUCCUGGGUCUGCCUGUCUCUUGUUGGCUGUCCACAAGAUGGAGAAGGCGGAAGCAACCUGAGGCGUCCUCUUUGUCUGUAAGGAUAGAGGGUCCAUUGUGGAAGGGAGAGAUACAGGCACUAUAUAGGCGAGGCCCUACCGGCCUGCAUCUCUUAUCUCCAGAAUUCUUUUACAGAAAAGAAAUAAAUAAAUAAACUUUUAUCUGGCUUAAGCCAC